This 384-nucleotide long non-coding RNA is filed under the name Bos indicus x Bos taurus (hybrid cattle). Its description in RNAcentral is "lncRNA (ENSBIXG00000025804.1)". The record is from RNAcentral. Lineage: Eukaryota; Metazoa; Chordata; Mammalia; Artiodactyla; Bovidae.
UUCUGGGAAGUUUUUUGAUUGUGGAAUAAUUAAUUUUGCUAUAAAAUUUUUAUAGUUAUCUUGGAAACUGGUUAAGAAGAGGAACUUUAGUUACUAAGGUAUGUCUAUAAUUUACAUAUAUUUAUGUAUCUUUUAUUGAAGCCAAAGGUCAAGAUUCAGUCAAACCAGGGAACUCAUCAAAUCAUGACCACUGGCAGUUUUUGUAUGGUCUUGUUCCUGAAUAGCUGUGUUUUUUCCUUCCCUGAGAAAGUGACCUGUCUUCCCUCUACUUUUAGUAAGUCAGUUCUGAUUUAUAUUUGGAGUCAUGGCACAGUACUAGAUGAUUCAAGCAGAGGAAGAAAAAAGAUCUGUGGCACUUUAUUUUCCACUUUCCUCUGAUAAAAG